Sorex araneus (European shrew) is the source of this 352-nucleotide long non-coding RNA. RefSeq lists it as uncharacterized. The transcript has 2 exons. The record is from RefSeq and is a predicted model, not a curated record. Lineage: Eukaryota; Metazoa; Chordata; Mammalia; Eulipotyphla; Soricidae.
GCAGCGCAAGGCAGUUCCAGCCCCAGAGUGUCACCAAGUUGAGAGUCUGGUCGAGGGAGGUCCGGUGCUGAUUUCAUGUUUCUAGAAUAGAAAGCGCCAACGAAAAUCGGCUGCAAACGCUGGACGCCGCUACUUUUAACUUUACUCUUGGAGCGUCUAACCAGGCGAAUCUCCGGUUGGUGGAACUUCAGCCAGGGUAUUAAUCCCCUUUCUAAACGUGUCCAAACUCCAGGUAUCUGAAACACAGUCUAGAGGCUGUCCCGCUCCCGAAUGUAGGUGGUCCUAGUUUUGACGGUUCUGUUUGUUCUUUUUGAAAGACAGUUGCAGUCAAGAAUAAAAACAUAAAAGUCUU